ACGCUGGCGGCAGGCUUAACACAUGCAAGUCGAGCGGAGAUGAGGUGCUUGCACCUUACUUAGCGGCGGACGGGUGAGUAAUGCUUAGGAAUCUGCCUAUUAGUGGGGGACAACAUUCCGAAAGGAAUGCUAAUACCGCAUACGUCCUACGGGAGAAAGCAGGGGAUCUUCGGACCUUGCGCUAAUAGAUGAGCCUAAGUCGGAUUAGCUAGUUGGUGGGGUAAAGGCCUACCAAGGCGACGAUCUGUAGCGGGUCUGAGAGGAUGAUCCGCCACACUGGGACUGAGACACGGCCCAGACUCCUACGGGAGGCAGCAGUGGGGAAUAUUGGACAAUGGGGGGAACCCUGAUCCAGCCAUGCCGCGUGUGUGAAGAAGGCCUUAUGGUUGUAAAGCACUUUAAGCGAGGAGGAGGCUACUGAGACUAAUACUCUUGGAUAGUGGACGUUACUCGCAGAAUAAGCACCGGCUAACUCUGUGCCAGCAGCCGCGGUAAUACAGAGGGUGCGAGCGUUAAUCGGAUUUACUGGGCGUAAAGCGUGCGUAGGCGGCUUUUUAAGUCGGAUGUGAAAUCCCCGAGCUUAACUUGGGAAUUGCAUUCGAUACUGGGAAGCUAGAGUAUGGGAGAGGAUGGUAGAAUUCCAGGUGUAUCGGUGAAAUGCGUAGAGAUCUGGAGGAAUACCGAUGGCGAAGGCAGCCAUCUGGCCUAAUACUGACGCUGAGGUACGAAAGCAUGGGGAGCAAACAGGAUUAGAUACCCUGGUAGUCCAUGCCGUAAACGAUGUCUACUAGCCGUUGGGGCCUUUGAGGCUUUAGUGGCGCAGCUAACGCGAUAAGUAGACCGCCUGGGGAGUACGGUCGCAAGACUAAAACUCAAAUGAAUUGACGGGGGCCCGCACAAGCGGUGGAGCAUGUGGUUUAAUUCGAUGCAACGCGAAGAACCUUACCUGGCCUUGACAUACUAGAAACUUUCCAGAGAUGGAUUGGUGCCUUCGGGAAUCUAGAUACAGGUGCUGCA
This 1017-nucleotide ribosomal RNA is filed under the name Acinetobacter sp. RNAcentral describes it as "bacterial SSU rRNA". It matches the Rfam family "Bacterial small subunit ribosomal RNA", at positions 33 to 1045 of the family's 1533-position model. Lineage: Bacteria; Pseudomonadati; Pseudomonadota; Gammaproteobacteria; Moraxellales; Moraxellaceae. The record is from RNAcentral.